AGAGAGAGACAUGCGCGCAUAUCAAUAAGCGGAGGAAAAGAAACUAACUAAGGAUUCCCUCAGUAACGGCGAGUGAAGCGGGAAGAGCUCAAAUUUGAAAUCUUCAAGGUUCUACCUCGACGAAUUGUAGUUUAAAGAAGUGUUUUCGGUUAGGAGUUUAGUAAAAGUUCUUUGGAAUAGGACAUCAUAGAGGGUGAGAAUCCCGUAUUUGACCGUUACUUUCUAGCUGUGUGAUACACUUUCAAAGAGUCGGAUUGUUUGGGAAUGCAGUCCAAAAUGGGUGGUAAAUUUCAUCUAAAGCUAAAUACUGGCGAGAGACCGAUAGCGAACAAGUACCGUGAGGGAAAGAUGAAAAGAACUUUGAAAAGAGAGUUAAACAGUACGUGAAAUUGUCAAAAGGGAAGCGUUUGACACCAGUGUUGUUUUCUCGAAAAUCAAUUAAAAAUGGCAGGAUUUUGUGUUGUAUUGACUUUAUCAGCUUUCUGCACUCUUUUCUUGUCUUUUUUAAUGCACUUUUCGUUUAACAAGUCAACAUCAAUUUCUUUUGUUGUAAAAGGGUCAUUGGAAGGUGGCUUUCUUUUCGGAGAAAGUGUUUAUAGCCUUUGGCCUCUGCAAUCGGAGAGAUUGAGGUCUGCAGCGUAGAUCCUUCGGGGUUAGAUACAUUUGUGCUGAGCUAUAGCCUUUUCAUAGACAACUUGUUGACUAUGAUCAGUCAUGUAGGCUUACUCGCUUAUGCUAUUUUACCUACGCUUAGGAUGUUGACAGCAGUAUAGACUGU
Molecule: ribosomal RNA, 778 nt
Filed under: uncultured Neocallimastigales
Lineage: Eukaryota; Fungi; Neocallimastigomycota; Neocallimastigomycetes; Neocallimastigales
Description: partial large subunit ribosomal RNA
Rfam family: Eukaryotic large subunit ribosomal RNA
Source: RNAcentral